AAAAGUUUAAAUUUAGCUUUAAAUUUUAAUAUUUAUUAAAUAUAUAUGUAAAUUUUAUUUUAAAAAAAUUUUUUAGCAAUAUAUAAUUUUAGAAAUUAAAUAAUUUUAGAUUUAGUUAAAUAAUUAAGUAUGAACUAAAUUUGUGCCAGCAGUUGCGGUUACACAAAUUUUGCAAUUAAAAUUUUUUAGUUAAAAUUAAUUUGAAAAUUAAAUAAUUUAAUAAAUAUUAUUUAAAGUGAAAUUUUAUAAUAUUUUAUAAUUAAAAUUUUUUAAUGAAGUUUAGAAAUUUUUAUAUAAACUAGGAUUAGAUACCCUAUUAUUUUAAAUGUAAGUAAAAAAACUAAAGAAUUAAAAGUUAAGAUCUUUAAAAUUAAGAAUUUUGGCGGUAUUUUAACUAAUCAGAGGAACCUGUCCUAUAAUUGAUAAUCCACAAUUUAAUUAACUUAAUUUAUUAAUUUUUAUAUCGUUGUAUAAAAAUAUUUUCAUAGAAAUAAAAUAUUUAAUUAUUUUUUUAGAAAAAUUAAAUCAGAUCAAGGUGAAGUUUAUAAUUAAGGAGAGAUGGGUUACAAUAAAUUUAUUUUUGGAUAAUGUUAUUUAAUAAUAUUUGAAAUUGGAUUUGAUAGUAAUUUUUAAGAAAUUUUAAAAAUGAUUUUAGUUCUAAAAUGUGUACAUAUUGCCCGUCGCUUCUAUUUAAAGUAGAAUAAGUCGUAACAUAGUUGAUUUAUUGGAAAAUGAAUCUAGAAUCAAA
This 748-nucleotide non-coding RNA is filed under the name Discolomatidae sp. 4 ACP-2013. Lineage: Eukaryota; Metazoa; Arthropoda; Insecta; Coleoptera; Discolomatidae. The record is from RNAcentral.